This 2346-nucleotide ribosomal RNA is filed under the name human gut metagenome. RNAcentral describes it as "bacterial LSU rRNA". It matches the Rfam family "Bacterial large subunit ribosomal RNA", at positions 1 to 2387 of the family's 2925-position model. The record is from RNAcentral.
UCAAGCAAUAAGGGCACAGGGCGGAUGCCUUGGCACUAAGAGCCGAUGAAAGACGUGAUAAGCUGCGAUAAGCUUCGGGGAGGAGCAAAUAUCCCGUGAUCCGGAGAUGUCUGAAUGGGGAAACCCACAUGAGCAAACCUCAUGUAUCCUACAGCCAAUACAUAACUGUAGGAAGGGAACCCGGGGAACUGAAACAUCUAAGUACCCGGAGGAAAAGAAAGAAAACUCGAUUCCGUAAGUAGCGGCGAGCGAACGCGGAGGAGCCUAAACCGGAAUGCGUGCAUUCCGGGGUUACGGACUGCAUUUAGGAUUCAGUGAUGUUAACAGAACGGUUUUGGGAAAGCCGGCCGGAGAGGGUGAAAGCCCCGUACGUGAAAGCUGAUGAGACUGAGCAGGAUCCAGAGUACCAUGAGACACGUGGAACCUUGUGGGAAAUCAGGGGGACCACCCCCUAAGGCUAAAUACUACUUAGUGACCGAUAGCGCAUAGUACUGUGAAGGAAAGGUGAAAAGGACCCCGGGAGGGGAGUGAAAGAGAACCUGAAACCCUGUGUCUACAAGCUGUGGGAGUGCUUUAUAUGCACGACCGCGUACUUUUUGUAGAACGGUCCGGCGAGUUACGCUUACUGGCAAGGUUAAGCACUUCAGGUGUGGAGCCGUAGGGAAACCAAGUCUUAAGAGGGCCUUAAGUCAGUAGGAGUAGACCCGAAACCGGGUGAUCUAUCCAUGUCCAGGUUGAAGCUGCCGUAAGAGGUAGUGGAGGACCGAACCCACAUCCGUUGAAAAGGGUGGGGAUGAGGUGUGGAUAGGGGAGAAAUUCCAAUCGAACCCGGAGAUAGCUGGUUCUCCUCGAAAUAGCUUUAGGGCUAGCCUCGAUACAGAUUUGCGGAGGUAGAGCACUGAAUUUCCUAGGGGGCGUCAAAGCCUACCGAAGAAUAUCAAACUCCGAAUGCCGCGUAAUCGAUUAUCGGGAGUCAGACUGCACGAGAUAAGUUGGGCGGUCAAAAGGGAAAGAGCCCAGACCUUCAGUUAAGGUCCCCAAGUGCGCGUUAAGUGGAAAAGGAUGUGGGAUUUCGAAGACAACCAGGAUGUUGGCUCAGAAGCAGCCAUCCAUUCAAAGAGUGCGUAAUAGCUCACUGGUCGAGAGGUCCUGCGCCGAAAAUGUCCGGGGCUGAAACGCGCCACCGAAACUAAGGAACCGAAAGGUUGGUAGAGGAGCAUUGCAUGCGGGAAGAAGCAGUACCGAAAGGAGCUGUGGACUGCAUGGAAGAGAGAAUGCCGGAAUGAGUAGCGAGAAUAAGGUGGGAAUCCUUAUGGCCGAAUAUCCAAGGUUUCCAGAGUAAAGCUGAUCUGCUCUGGGUAAGUCGGGGCCUAAGGCGAGGACGAGAGUCGUAGCCGAUGGACAACAGGUGGAGAUUCCUGUACUGCGGUAUGACAGAACUGUGGGGACACGUAAGGAAAGCGGAAGCCGGGAAUGGAAAGCCCGGUGCAAGCGGGGUACCAGCCACUUUGGCAAAUCCGGGUGGCAAUGGGAAGCCGUGAUGCGGAGCGAAAUAAAGUAGCGAAGUCCGUGAGCCAUGCGUCAAGAAAAGCCGCUAUCGUUUAUACCGUGCCCGUACCGUAAACCGACACAGGUGGAUGAGGAGAGAAUCCUAAGGCCGGCGGAAGAAGCAUUGUCAAGGAACUCGGCAAAAUGGCCCCGUAACUUAGGGAUAAGGGGUGCCUGGGAAACCAGGCCGCAGAGAAUAGGCUCAAGCAACUGUUUAGCAAAAACACAGGUCUAUGCGAAACCGAAAGGUGAGGUAUAUGGGCUGACGCCUGCCCGGUGCUGGAAGGUUAAGAGGAGAGGUUAGCGCAAGCGAAGCUUUGAAUUUAAGCCCCAGUAAACGGCGGCCGUAACUAUAACGGUCCUAAGGUAGCGAAAUUCCUUGUCGGGUAAGUUCCGACCCGCACGAAAGGCGUAAUGAUUUGAGCGCUGUCUCGACAAUGCAUCCGGUGAAAUUGAAGUACCAGUGAAGAUGCUGGUUACCUGCGCCAGGACGGAAAGACCCCAUGGAGCUUUACUCCAGUCUGGUACUGGGACUCGGUAUUGCAUGUACAGGAUAGGUGGGAGGCUAGGAGAUGGUAACGCCAGUUGCCAUGGAGCCGCUGUUGGGAUACCACCCUUGCAGUAUUGGGUUUCUAACCAGCCGCCGUGACCCGGCGGUGGGACAAUGCCAGACGGGGAGUUUGACUGGGGCGGUCGCCUCCGAAAGGGUAUCGGAGGCGCCCAAAGGUUCCCUCAGAAUGGACGGAAACCAUUCGAAGAGUGCAAAGGCAGAAGGGAGCUUGACUGCGACACCGACGG